GUGUCAGCCGCCGCGGUAAUACCGGCAGCUCAAGUGAUGACCGAUUUUAUUGGGCCUAAAGCGUCCGUAGCUGGCCGCGCAAGUCUGUCGGGAAAUCCACCCGCUUAACGGGUGGGCGUCCGGCGGAAACUGUGUGGCUUGGGACCGGAAGGCGCGACGGGUACGUCCGGGGUAGGAGUGAAAUCCUGUAAUCCUGGACGGACCGCCGAUGGCGAAAGCACGUCGCGAGGACGGAUCCGACAGUGAGGGACGAAAGCCAGGGUCUCGAACCGG
This 273-nucleotide ribosomal RNA is filed under the name uncultured prokaryote. RNAcentral describes it as "partial 16S ribosomal RNA". It matches the Rfam family "Archaeal small subunit ribosomal RNA", at positions 455 to 727 of the family's 1478-position model. The record is from RNAcentral.